Molecule: ribosomal RNA, 497 nt
Filed under: uncultured bacterium
Lineage: Bacteria
Description: partial 16S ribosomal RNA
Rfam family: Bacterial small subunit ribosomal RNA
Source: RNAcentral
GACGAACGCUGGCGGCGUGCCUAAUACAUGCAAGUUGAGCGAUGAAGAUUGGUGCUUGCACCAAUUUGAAGAGCAGCGAGCGGGUGAGUAACGCGUGGGGAAUCUGCCUUUGAGCGGGGGACAACAUUUGGAAACGAAUGCUAAUACCGCAUAACAACUUUAAACAUAAGUUUUAAGUUUGAAAGAUGCAAUUGCAUCACUCAAAGAUGAUCCCGCGUUGUAUUAGCUAGUUGGUGAGGUAAAGGCUCACCAAGGCGAUGAUACAUAGCCGACCUGAGAGGGUGAUCGGCCACAUUGGGACUGAGACACGGCCCAAACUCCUACGGGAGGCAGCAGUAGGGAAUCUUCGGCAAUGGACGAAAGUCUGACCGAGCAACGCCGCGUGAGUGAAGAAGGGUUUCGGAUCGUAAAACUCUGUUGGUAGAGAAGAACGUUGGUGAGAGUGGAAAGCUCAUCAAGUGACGGUAACUACACAGAAAGGGACGGCUAACUACGUG